Long non-coding RNA from Oncorhynchus tshawytscha (Chinook salmon), 504 nucleotides. NCBI's taxonomy places the organism in Eukaryota, Metazoa, Chordata, Actinopteri, Salmoniformes, Salmonidae. The record is from Ensembl.
GCAGAGAGAGGGUGGAAAUAGAUGUGUUGGGGUGUUUAAAUGAUGCAGAGAGAGGGUGAAAAUAGAUGUGUUGGGGUGUUUGAAUGAGGCAGAGAGAGGGUGAAAUUAGAUGUGUUGGGGUGUUUGAAUGAAGCAGAGAGGGGGUGGAAAUAGAUGUACUGGGGUUUUUGAAUGAAGCAGAGAGAGGGUGGAAAUAGAUGUGCUGGGGUGUUUGAAUAAAGCAGAGAGAAGGUGAAAUUAGAUGUGCUGGGGUGUUUGAAUGAAGCAGAGAGAGGGUGAAAUUAGAUGUGCUGGGGUGUUUGAAUGAGGCAGCAGACAGGGGGAAAAUGAUGGGGUAAAAUGAUGUGUUGGGGUGUUUGAAUGAGGCAGCAGACAGGGGGUAAAUGAUGUGUUGGGGUGUUUGAAUGAGGCAGCAGACAGGGGGUAAAUGAUGUGUUGGGGUGUUUGAAUGAGGCAGCAGACAGGGGGGAAAUGAUGUGUUGGGGUGUUUGAAUGAGGCAGCAG